RNAcentral lists this ribosomal RNA (498 nucleotides) under Triticum aestivum (bread wheat). RNAcentral's name for it is "partial small subunit ribosomal RNA". The record is from RNAcentral. Lineage: Eukaryota; Viridiplantae; Streptophyta; Magnoliopsida; Poales; Poaceae.
AUGGGCAUGCAGGCUCUGAUGGAUGUCCGGUGCACGAAUCUAGUCAACCUUGUAUGCGACUGGCUUGGUGAGAUUUACGACCCCGCCUCCACGGAAUGUGUGAUUCCAGGACGUGGAAGACUGCCGUUGAACGAGGAAUCCAUGUUCUGCACUUUGGGUGAGCCCCAUGGAGAAAUCAAAGUCCCAUAUGAGGUCAAUAAUAAGAUCGAGGAAAUGUUGUUCCCCCGUUUGUUUCCUGGGUUGGAAUCCAUGCCGAACACGUCUUUCCUGGCAGAUUCGCUGCAGGCCAUGACAACCCAUGGCGAGGUUUUUAAGAUGAAACUACUCAUGUACCUCAUAUCAGCUGUUUUCGCGCCGACCACUUCUCUUUGCCCAAGCAACAAAUGCUUCCCCAUCCUGGCGAAACUGAAAGAUGUGAAGAACAUGAAUUGGUGUAAGUUCAUUGCCAACUUCCUACAUGAUGCAUUCUCAAGCAAGAUGUACCAAAAGGGUUGUUGA